This 427-nucleotide ribosomal RNA is filed under the name uncultured bacterium. RNAcentral describes it as "partial 16S ribosomal RNA". It matches the Rfam family "Bacterial small subunit ribosomal RNA", at positions 355 to 774 of the family's 1533-position model. The record is from RNAcentral.
UGGGGAAUAUUGGACAAUGGGCGAAAGCCUGAUCCAGCCAUGCCGCGUGUGUGAAGAAGGUCUUCGGAUUGUAAAGCACUUUAAGUUGGGAGGAAGGGCAUUAACCUAAUACGUUAGUGUUUUGACGUUACCGACAGAAUAAGCACCGGCUAACUCUGUGCCAGCAGCCGCGGUAAUACAGAUGGUGCAAGCGUUAAUCGGAAUUACUGGGCGUAAAGCGCGCGUAGGUGGUUUGUUAAGUUGGAUGUGAAAUCCCCGGGCUCAACCUGGGAACUGCAUUCAAAACUGACUGACUAGAGUAUGGUAGAGGGUGGUGGAAUUUCCUGUGUAGCGGUGAAAUGCGUAGAUAUAGGAAGGAACACCAGUGGCGAAGGCGACCACCUGGACUAAUACUGACACUGAGGUGCGAAAGCGUGGGGAGCAAACA